RNAcentral lists this ribosomal RNA (119 nucleotides) under Numida meleagris (helmeted guineafowl). The record is from RNAcentral. Lineage: Eukaryota; Metazoa; Chordata; Aves; Galliformes; Numididae.
AUAUACAGCCACACCACUCUGGCAACGCCCAGUCUCGUCUGAUCUUGGAAGCUAAGCAGGGUCGGGCCUGGUUAGUACUUGGAUGGGAUACCUCCUUGGAAUAUCGGGUGCUGUAGGCU